GAGGAGAGGAGUAAGGAGAAAUUUGGACACAGUCAUACAGUCCAAAGAAACUGUAAAGAGCCUGUCACAGGUCUGUGUCAGGGGAGUUUGCUGUCACUGAUGAGGAUGCACAUCAUAUGCAAAAAUAUUUUGCAUGUACAGUAUGGCAAGAUGCUACCAGAUACCUUGAUUGUUAAAGAUGCAGCAAACUUUUUAUAGGUGGAGAAGGGAGAUAGAAGAUGGAAUGAAUGGUGGAUAAAAACUCUCCAGUUGCUUCAAGGAGGGCUUCACUAGUAUUGUGCAUGAGCUUGCACCAAGAAAAAUCCUUUUGGCCAAAAUAUAAAUUGAAGCAAGAGAGGAGAUGCUUGCAG
Myxocyprinus asiaticus (Chinese sucker) is the source of this 350-nucleotide long non-coding RNA. RefSeq lists it as uncharacterized. The record is from RefSeq and is a predicted model, not a curated record. NCBI's taxonomy places the organism in Eukaryota, Metazoa, Chordata, Actinopteri, Cypriniformes, Catostomidae. The transcript has 3 exons.